This 72-nucleotide transfer RNA is filed under the name Aulostomus chinensis (Chinese trumpetfish). RNAcentral's name for it is "tRNA-Phe". The record is from RNAcentral. Lineage: Eukaryota; Metazoa; Chordata; Actinopteri; Syngnathiformes; Aulostomidae.
UUCACCGUAGCUUAAACCUGCAGAGCACGCCACUGAAGCUGGCAAAGUGGGCCCUCAAAAGCCCCGUGGACA